CCCAUGUAGCCUUCUUCUAUAUCGAGCUGGUCUGCAACGUCUGGUUUACCGUCGAACUGCUUGUAAGAUCUGUGGUAGCCCCAAAUAUAAUAGAAUUCGUCAAAUCACCAGUCAACAUAAUCGACUUCAUAGCCACAUUAAGUUUCUACAUGGACGUCGUCGUGGAACUGGCAGUUCUGAAAAGGAAUGUGGACAAAGCUGAUAUUUUAGAAUUCAUAUCUAUCAUCAAGAUCCUCAGGUUAUUCAAGCUGAC
RNAcentral lists this unclassified non-coding RNA (253 nucleotides) under Melitaea cinxia (Glanville fritillary). RNAcentral describes it as "misc RNA ENSMCXG00005019839.1". The record is from RNAcentral. Lineage: Eukaryota; Metazoa; Arthropoda; Insecta; Lepidoptera; Nymphalidae.